ACGAGUCGAGGGUUGUCGUGGUCCCCUCGGGGGCAUGUGCCGCCUGAGCUCUUAAAUCCACCACACACCUGUGAACCCACCGUGGGCCCUGCGAGGGGCUCGCCUCUAUAUACUCUGCAUGUCUCGUAGAAUGUCAAAUUGUUUGCCUUAAAAACGCAAUCAAAUACAACUUUCAACAACGGAUCUCUUGGCUCUCGCAUCGAUGAAGAACGCAGCGAAAUGCGAUAAGUAAUGUGAAUUGCAGAUUUUCAGUGAAUCAUCGAAUCUUUGAACGCACCUUGCGCCCCUUGGUAUUCCGAGGAGCAUGCCUGUUUGAGUGUCAUUCAAAUCAUCAACCCCGUCGAUCUUUGAUCGGUCGGAGGCUUGGACUUUGGAGCGUGCUGGCCCUGAGGUCGGCUCCUCUUUAAAUGCAUCAGCGGAAAGCCCAUUGACGUUUCCCGUCGGCGUGAUAACACUGUUGCGUCGUCAGGGUCUGGUUGGGGCUCGCUUAUAAUCGUCUUCGGACAACAUCCCAUUUUUGACCUCAAAUCAGGUAGGACUACCCGCUUGAACUUAAGCAUAUCAAUC
Molecule: unclassified non-coding RNA, 567 nt
Filed under: ectomycorrhizal isolate ECM 58
Lineage: Eukaryota; Fungi
Description: ITS1, 5.8S rRNA, ITS2
Rfam family: 5.8S ribosomal RNA (bases 168-322)
Source: RNAcentral